This 499-nucleotide ribosomal RNA is filed under the name uncultured bacterium. RNAcentral's name for it is "bacterial SSU rRNA". It matches the Rfam family "Bacterial small subunit ribosomal RNA", at positions 899 to 1397 of the family's 1533-position model. The record is from RNAcentral.
ACUCAAAGGAAUAGACGGGGGCCCGCACAAGCGGUGGAGCAUGUGGUUUAAUUCGAAGCAACGCGAAGAACCUUACCAAGGCUUGACAUCCCAACGAUCGGUGUAGAGAUACACUUUCCCUUCGGGGCGUUGGUGACAGGUGGUGCAUGGUUGUCGUCAGCUCGUGUCGUGAGAUGUUGGGUUAAGUCCCGCAACGAGCGCAACCCUUAUCUUUAGUAGCCAUCGGGUAAUGCCGGGCACACUAGAGAGACUGCCGUGGAUAACACGGAGGAAGGUGGGGACGACGUCAAAUCAUCAUGCCCCUUAUGUCUUGGGCUACACACGUGCUACAAUGGAAACUACAAAGUGAAGCGAGACGGCGACGUGGAGCAAAUCACAAAAAGGUUUCCUCAGUUCGGAUUGCAGGCUGCAACCCGCCUGCAUGAAGUUGGAAUCGCUAGUAAUCGCGAAUCAGCAUGUCGCGGUGAAUACGUUCCCGGGCCUUGCACACACCGCCCGU